Molecule: long non-coding RNA, 1127 nt
Organism: Astatotilapia calliptera (eastern happy)
Lineage: Eukaryota; Metazoa; Chordata; Actinopteri; Cichliformes; Cichlidae
Source: Ensembl
GUUAUUCCUUGUUGGAAAGCUGAUGAAACUUUGGGAGCACAGUCCCGAGGUUACAGUCAUUCAAAUCCCUGGCAUAAAGGCACAGCUUUAGGAAUUUAUUUAAAAUUCUAGCAAUUCCUUCAUAUUAAGGUGUCUGCAGCAAGUUUCAUCUCUUGAAGUUGUGAUGGGUGAAUUGUUUUCCUUUAUGAAGUCCUCAGUGUUCAGAGACAGUAUCUCGUCUGGGGCUCUCCUCAGCUCUUCCCAGGAGGGUGGCACAGAUGCCCCUCCGGUGGUCCUCCUUGGGCUCUCACACUCUGGGGCCUCUGGAUGUCUGGAGCCUGGAUCUCCUCCAUGCCUGCUUCAUGCCCUGGGGGACGGGGCUAUGGCUCUCUACACCCUCUUGCAGACCGUUACAUGGGGAAACCUUUUGAAUACAAGCGCGCUGAUCCACACAGGUGUGUACAUGGGUGUUCACUGUUCAUCGACAUAAACUACACCUUUCUUGGCUGUGACUUCAAAGCGCAUUAUGCGCUGUCGGUUCUGCGUGCUGCACAACAACAUUCAAUAUUUAGUAUUUACUGCUAUUUACACUUAGCUAGAUUAAUGCGAUGGCGUUGUGUUUAGUAUGUUGCUCUGUUUUGGUUUUUUUUUUUUUGCUUGUUUUUGCUUCUUUUUCUCUCAACAGGUGAUCCAGGAGAUUUUUUUUCUUCUUUCUCUUUUUAAGUGCCCUUUCUCACUGUCCCUCUUCCCUUCUGUUUUUCUUUUCCUUCAUCUUUCUUUCUCCCUUUCCUAUCCCUCAGUCAUGUCUGUCCCGUCUGUAACAACUGAAAAUAAAAUAAAUAAUAACAACAAAGGUCAAUCAAAUGGACCAAUAUGGCAAGGCCAUGAUGAUCCACUUGGUAAAAUAAAUCCGCUUGGCAUCUUUCUUGGCCUUAAGACAACAAUUCUGAUGGCUAAAAACCCUCAAUCUCACUGAGAUCAUGUAAUUUAAUAAAGGAUUGUAUCAAUUUAUCUGGAUUCCAUGGUGACAAGAAGCCAUAUUGUUUGACCAGGAAUAAAUAUUCCAGCACUUCGACCUUUAACCGGGCUGUGCAAUUUCUAAUAUAAAUAAAUGCGUCACAUCUCAGUCCCUAAGCGACUGUGAAAAG